RNAcentral lists this transfer RNA (73 nucleotides) under Caenorhabditis briggsae. RNAcentral describes it as "tRNA CBG28464". It matches the Rfam family "tRNA". From Rfam's summary of the family: Transfer RNA (tRNA) molecules are approximately 80 nucleotides in length. Their secondary structure includes four short double-helical elements and three loops (D, anti-codon, and T loops). Lineage: Eukaryota; Metazoa; Nematoda; Chromadorea; Rhabditida; Rhabditidae. The record is from Rfam by way of RNAcentral.
GGCCUUGUGGCCUAAUGGAGAAGGCGUCUGACUUCUAAUCAGAAGAUUGCAAGUUCGACCCCUGCCUGGGUCA